This 68-nucleotide transfer RNA is filed under the name Pecten albicans. RNAcentral describes it as "tRNA-Asp". The record is from RNAcentral. Lineage: Eukaryota; Metazoa; Mollusca; Bivalvia; Pectinida; Pectinidae.
UGGGAAGUGGUGAAAUAAUCACGAGCAGUUGUCACUUGUUAGUUGCGUUGAUGGUCGCGCCUUCUCAU